Zootermopsis nevadensis is the source of this 1147-nucleotide RNA transcript. RefSeq lists it as uncharacterized. Lineage: Eukaryota; Metazoa; Arthropoda; Insecta; Blattodea; Termopsidae. The record is from RefSeq and is a predicted model, not a curated record.
GAGAUUCUCAAGAUCAUGUCCUGUGUGUUACAGAGAGAUCUCGACAUCAGAGGGCAACUGGAAACUCUGACAUCACGUCUCAAUGGCAAGAUAAGGAAUGUGACGUGUGUGAUGCAGGAACUUGGCUAUUUGGAUGAAAAUUUGGAGCCCAAUUUUGAGAAGAUUUCAGAAAGAAUCAACAGACUACCAAUUGGAGAAGAACUGAAGAAAGACAUGGUUGAUGGUGUCCAGUUCUGCAAACAGUUUGCUCAAUGUGUUCCUGAGACGGGAAAGGAUAAGUUUCAGCUUUCUCGGGAACUGGUGAAACCCAUGUUUUUCUUCAGAUGCUAUAAGCAUAAGAAACUUGAAGCUUGCAUCAUGAAGGAUGUGAGGGAGAGGUACACCCCUGGAGACGAUAUGGCAGCACCUGACGAGGAUAAUAUCGGAAGUGGGGAAUUGCGAUCUUUGUCUUGGGCCAGCAGUAAGCCUGAUUAUGAUGACAUGGCUACAGCUGCAUAUGAGUUUCUUUAUGGUGGGGAAAAUUCUGAUCUUGAAAACAUCAUGUAGAAACAUCAAAUUCAAUAUUUACUGACUGUGUUACUAAGGAUAUGAUGAAAGAAACAAAGUUUUCAUAUUACUGGACUUGAAACAAUUUCUACAUUUCACAUGUAUGAUGACAGUUUCCAGGUUAUAUAAUGACAAGAGAAAUGUGACAACCAAAUAUUUUCAAAGUUAGCGUCAUUUAGAAACUUCAAGCAUAGUGAAGAUGGUCAACAUCAUGGUGACAUAAAACAUUUCAUCUCUUACUCUGCUACGGACCAACAAUUGAAAUAUAGCCAUUAGUCUUCAAGUAACCGGUAUUAUGUAAGAGUGAACCUGACAGUAGCAGGCUCUAGGCUUCCUUCUGGGUAUUUGGCUGUAUUGGGGAAUAACCCAUUGACACAGUAGUACUAGAUGUGGGAAUAUACUGAUAUGUAGUAGAUAUCAGAUCACAGACCUUGUUCGUGAGACAAUUAACAAAUUCUCACAGGAUCUGUAGUUUCUGUGACAAACUGUCAGCAAUGAAAUGCCAGCAGAAUUAUGCCACUGUCUCACGAAUGAACGUCCAGUUUUUAUACUUUACUUUAUGUACUUUCUAGUUUUGUGCAAUAAAAAAUGUAAAACAGUC